RNAcentral lists this unclassified non-coding RNA (2442 nucleotides) under Hevea brasiliensis (rubber tree). The record is from RNAcentral. Lineage: Eukaryota; Viridiplantae; Streptophyta; Magnoliopsida; Malpighiales; Euphorbiaceae.
AAGGAGACACAAAAAAAAGAAACAUAAACAGUAAUACUCCCAAUCAAAAGAAUAGACGCCGUCAGUCACCACAGCACCAGACGCACGCACACUGUCGCGUAGCUAAAGUUGAGACAUCGCUUGCGCCUUUCUCAGGAGCCGUCACCCGCCACCACCACUAGUACUCUGUUAUUUUUUGGGUACGAAGAGAAAUGCAGAAUCUUGCUCUACCAUAAACGCGCGAGAUAAGGUCUCACCUGAUCGGUUGCCGGUGAAACCCGACAUCUCUUUUUUUUCUUCACGACUUAGGGUUUUGCUGAUCAAUGGCAUCGGAGGAUGUGAAGACGAGCGAAUCGGCUGUUACGACGAUCGUCAAUCUAGCGGAGGAGGCUAAGUUGGCUAGAGAGGGAGUCAAGGCCCCGAGCUAUGCUGUUCUUAGCAUCUGCAAGUCUCUUGUCGCUGGUGGUGUCGCCGGUGGAGUGUCACGUACAGCUGUUGCUCCAUUGGAAAGGUUGAAGAUAUUGCUCCAGGUUCAAAAUCCCCACAACAUAAAAUACAAUGGAACAAUUCAAGGGUUAAAAUACAUAUGGAGAACUGAGGGUUUUCGUGGACUGUUUAAAGGCAAUGGUACCAACUGUGCUCGUAUUGUCCCAAACUCAGCAGUGAAAUUCUUCAGCUAUGAGGAGGCUUCUAAGUAUAUUUACUUGAAAAUUUCUAGUUUUAUUGGUUGGACUGGAAUUCAGUGUCUAAAUUGUUAUAUUAGAUAGUUUUUGUUUAAUGCAGAAUGUAUUUGGUUAUAUAGUAUAUGGAUGGAAGUACUAACUGCUGCUUAUCUUUAACAUACUGAAUUUGCUUAGAUCCAUCAAUCUUAAAGAGAAAUAUUAUGGUCUUUUGAACCAACAAUGCCAUUGUGGAAAUGUUUAUAGCCAAUAGUAAUAUGGAACAAAAUAAAUCAUUCAGUAUUGAUAGCUUAAUUAGUGCAAGCAUGUACAAGCAUUCUACAUCUGUUUUGUAAUUUUAUGUCAGUGGAAAAAGGUGAUGUUUCUAUUUGUAUAAAAUUAUUAACUUGCGAAAGGGGCUCCUUGCUUGUUUCUUUGGUCCUACCACCAUAUAUGUUAUCGAGGCAUUAAUUCACUUUUCUUUUCCCAAUCAUUUGAAAUUACAUCUGUACAUGGUUCAAGGGUUUUCUCUGGUCCAUCCAAGUGAUAUCUUUAUCUUUCAGCUGAUUUUUCCUCUAUAUCUGUGUGGCAGGGGAAUAUUGUGGCUGUAUCAACAGAAAACUGGCAAUGGUAUGUCUUCAAUUUUUUGAAUUAUUAUUUUACACUCUCUUUGCAGUCAUAAAGAUAUUGUGUGCACUUCAAUGUUUGGCUAGAUAAUAUUUGUUCAGUUUGAGUUGGUUCUUUACCUGCUUGUUAGCAACGGAUGGCACUUGAUAGAGCCUAUGUGAGUUAUCUUAUUCCUUAUAUCCCCCUUCCCUCCUCUGGUUGUUUCCUGCAGAAGAUGCGCAGCUCACUCCUCUUCUACGCCUUGGAGCCGGAGCAUGUGCAGGAAUAAUUGCCAUGUCUGCAACUUAUCCCAUGGAUAUGGUGCGAGGCAGGCUAACUGUACAGACUGAUAAAUCACCUUAUCAAUAUAGAGGAAUGUUCCAUGCUUUAUCAACUGUGCUUCGGGAAGAAGGUCCACGGGCUCUGUACAAGGGUUGGCUUCCCUCUGUCAUUGGAGUUAUCCCAUAUGUAGGUCUUAACUUUGCUGUGUAUGAAUCACUAAAGGAUUGGUUAGUUAAAGCUAAACCAUUUGGACUAGUUCAAGAUUCUGACUUGAGUGUGACUACAAGGCUUGCUUGUGGGGCUGCUGCUGGAACUGUUGGCCAAACUGUCGCUUAUCCUCUUGAUGUUAUUCGCCGGCGAAUGCAGAUGGUUGGAUGGAAAGAUGCUGCUUCUAUUGUCACUGGUGAUGGGAGGAGCAAGGCCCCCCUUGAAUAUACUGGCAUGAUUGAUGCAUUCAGGAAAACUGUUCGGUAUGAGGGCUUUGGAGCAUUAUACAAGGGUUUGGUACCUAAUUCUGUAAAGGUAGUCCCAUCUAUAGCAAUUGCAUUUGUGACAUACGAGGUGGUGAAGGACAUUCUAGGAGUUGAGAUUAGAAUAUCAGACUGAAGCGUGGGCUCCUCCCUAAUGAUCGUUGAACAAGUGUGCUAUUUUUGUAGGCAAGGGAAUGGGUAGAAGGUAAAUUAGGGUAAUUUUCUUCCACAUUUCUCUAUGUGAGUGAGUUUAAAGAUGCAUUUAAGGCUGUCAUAAAUUGUUUUCCCUUCUCUGUUUCCUUGAGAACAUGCUGUAGUUGUCAGCUUCUCAUUUAUAUUGUCAAUAAGUAUGUUGAGGGGACAACUCACGAAAUUCAAUUGGAUGCCUCUCCAUGAGAAUUGAGAUUUUCUGAGCAUAGAUCGGUCUUCCUAUCCUUUUCUCUCAG